Molecule: ribosomal RNA, 247 nt
Filed under: uncultured bacterium
Lineage: Bacteria
Description: partial 16S ribosomal RNA
Rfam family: Bacterial small subunit ribosomal RNA
Source: RNAcentral
AUACGGAGGGUGCGAGCGUUGUUCGGAAUUAUUGGGCGUAAAGCGCGUGUAGGCGGUCUUUUAAGUCUGAUGUGAAAGCCCUGGGCUCAACCCAGGAAGUGCAUUGGAUACUGGGAGACUUGAAUACGGGAGAGGGUAGUGGAAUUCCUAGUGUAGGAGUGAAAUCCGUAGAUAUUAGGAGGAACACCAGUGGCGAAGGCGUCUUUCUGGUCUGCAUCUGACACUGAGGAGCGAAAGCCAGGGGAGC